GGUGAACGCUGGCGGUAGGCCUAACACAUGCAAGUCGAACGGCAGCACAGUAAGAGCUUGCUCUUACGGGUGGCGAGUGGCGGACGGGUGAGGAAUACAUCGGAAUCUACUUUUUCGGGGGGGAUAACGUAGGGAAACUUACGCUAAUACCGCAUACGACCUACGGGUGAAAGCAGGGGAUCUUCGGACCUUGCGCGAUUGAAUGAGCCGAUGUCGGAUUAGCUAGUUGGCGGGGUAAAGGCCCACCAAGGCGACGAUCCGUAGCUGGUCUGAGAGGAUGAUCAGCCACACUGGAACUGAGACACGGUCCAGACUCCUACGGGAGGCAGCAGUGGGGAAUAUUGGACAAUGGGCGCAAGCCUGAUCCAGCCAUACCGCGUGGGUGAAGAAGGCCUUCGGGUUGUAAAGCCCUUUUGUUGGGAAAGAAAAGCAGCAGGUUAAUACCCCGCUGUUCUGACGGUACCCAAAGAAUAAGCACCGGCUAACUUCGUG
RNAcentral lists this ribosomal RNA (492 nucleotides) under uncultured bacterium. Its description in RNAcentral is "partial 16S ribosomal RNA". It matches the Rfam family "Bacterial small subunit ribosomal RNA", at positions 28 to 507 of the family's 1533-position model. The record is from RNAcentral.